GAUGAAGAACGUAGCGAAAUGCGAUAAGUAAUGUGAAUUGCAGAAUUCAGUGAAUCAUCGAAUCUUUGAACGCACAUUGCGCCCGCCAGUAUUCUGGCGGGCAUGCCUGUUCGAGCGUCAUUACAACCCUCAGGCCCCCGGGCCUGGCGUUGGGGAUCGGCGGAGCCCCCCGUGGGCACACGCCGUCCCCCAAAUGCAGUGGCGGUCCCGCCGCAGCUUCCAUCGCGUACUAGCUAACACCUCGCGACUGGAGAGCGGCGCGGCCACGCCGUAAAACACCCAACUCUUCUGAAGUUGACCUCGAAUCAGGUAGGAAUACCCGCUGAACUUAAGCAUAUCAAUAAGCGGAGGA
Molecule: unclassified non-coding RNA, 352 nt
Filed under: soil metagenome
Description: partial contains 5.8S ribosomal RNA, internal transcribed spacer 2, and large subunit ribosomal RNA
Rfam family: 5.8S ribosomal RNA (bases 1-120)
Source: RNAcentral